This 499-nucleotide ribosomal RNA is filed under the name uncultured bacterium. Its description in RNAcentral is "bacterial SSU rRNA". It matches the Rfam family "Bacterial small subunit ribosomal RNA", at positions 28 to 481 of the family's 1533-position model. The record is from RNAcentral.
GAUGAACGCUGGCGGCGUGCCUAAUACAUGCAAGUCGAACGCAUUGUGGUUGAAAUGAUAUGAAGAACUUGUUCAGAUUUAAUUUUCAACAUUGCAAUGAGUGGCGAACGGGUGAGUAACACGUGGGAAACCUACCUCUUAGCAGGGGAUAACAUUUGGAAACAGAUGCUAAUACCGUAUAAUAAUUAAAACCGCAUGGUUUUAGUUUAAAAGAUGGUCUUGCUAUCACUAAGAGAUGGUCCCGCGGUGUAUUAGUUAGUUGGUGAGGUAAUGGCUCACCAAGACAAUGAUACAUAGCCGAGUUGAGAGACUGACCGGCCACAAUGGGACUGAGACACGGCCCAUACUCCUACGGGAGGCAGCAGUAGGGAAUCUUCCACAAUGGACGAAAGUCUGAUGGAGCAACGCCGCGUGUGUGAUGAAGGGUUUCGGCUCGUAAAACACUGUUGUAAGAGAAGAAUGACAUUGAGAGUAACUGUUCAAUGUGUGACGGUAUCUU